UCGUGCUAGAUGGGGAGUUAGCGGUGCCCUGUAACCCGAAAUCCGCUUAUGCGGGAUUGAAUUCCCUGCAGAGAGUUACAGUUAGACCGGGGCCUGUCUGUGCUUGUUGCUGAUUGGACACCGCGCAACAAACGGAUACGAACCCCGUCAGGUCCGGGAGGAAGCAGCGGUAAGUAUUGCAGUUUGUGUCGUGGUUACCUCUGAUCAGAGCUGCAACGCGGACGGUCCAUGGGAAAGCUGAGCCCGAAGUGGGGUGCACGA
This 261-nucleotide signal recognition particle RNA is filed under the name Deltaproteobacteria bacterium. Its description in RNAcentral is "signal recognition particle sRNA large type". It matches the Rfam family "Bacterial large signal recognition particle RNA". From Rfam's summary of the family: The signal recognition particle (SRP) is a universally conserved ribonucleoprotein involved in the co-translational targeting of proteins to membranes. Archaeal SRP consists of a 7S RNA and homologues of the eukaryotic SRP19 and SRP54 proteins. In most bacteria, the SRP consists of a 4.5S RNA and the Ffh protein (a homologue of the eukaryotic SRP54 protein). RNAcentral also lists the same sequence under 1 other name. The record is from RNAcentral. Lineage: Bacteria; Pseudomonadati; Myxococcota; Myxococcia.